Long non-coding RNA from Haliotis rubra (blacklip abalone), 230 nucleotides. RefSeq lists it as uncharacterized. The record is from RefSeq and is a predicted model, not a curated record. The transcript is spliced from 3 exons. NCBI's taxonomy places the organism in Eukaryota, Metazoa, Mollusca, Gastropoda, Lepetellida, Haliotidae.
GCGAAAUGUCUUUAAAGCUUAGCAAGAUGAGUUUCCAGUCUAAAUCCGACGACCAUAAAAUACAUAAUAAAUUUUGACAUAGGCAAACGAGUGGAUGACAGCAUGAUCAAGAUUUCUGAAAAGUGGAUUCAGGGCUUGAUCCAUUUGAUGUCAUCAUGUCAUCCCUCAAGAUUGAAUGCGUAAUCAUUUAUGGAACACACUUAAAGCCUUUUGCUGGACAAGAUGACGCC